AGCUCCAUCUAUGUUAUAUUUCAAAGUGCCAGAGUCUGGAGGACGCCACAGAUGCGCGGGAUUGAGGUGCGGAAUCCUGGAUCUCGAUCCAGCAACAGCAAGGGAAAGGAGUGAUCGGGUCUGAGUGAUGGCCAUGUCAACUACCCGUCGUGGAUCUGGUGUCUAGUUGCGGAAGACUGCAUCAUUGCGCAUUCUCCAAAUCUGCCAUAGUGUAUUGGCAGUGAGCUCGAGACCGGGUAGGUUCUUUGGUGUCGCUGCUAUGGCUGAGAUCCAUUGAUCAAUUCGUUGGUUGCUCCAAGGGGGUAGUGUGCUAUUAAUAUGUUGGUGUGUCCAGACAGCUCGAGUCCACUCACAUUGGAGGAACAGAUGUUCGAUGGUCUCUUGGUUCUGUUGUUUACACAGCAUGCAUCAAGGGUCAGAGGCGAUGUGUCGAUUAAAGAGGUUGGCCCUUGUCGCAAUUGCAUUCUGACACACAGCCCAGGUAAAUACUCUUAUUUUUGGCGCAGUUUGCAUC
RNAcentral lists this long non-coding RNA (514 nucleotides) under Eucalyptus grandis. RNAcentral's name for it is "long non-coding RNA (EGRA_LNC004094)". Lineage: Eukaryota; Viridiplantae; Streptophyta; Magnoliopsida; Myrtales; Myrtaceae. The record is from RNAcentral.